Molecule: ribosomal RNA, 460 nt
Filed under: uncultured bacterium
Lineage: Bacteria
Description: partial 16S ribosomal RNA
Rfam family: Bacterial small subunit ribosomal RNA
Source: RNAcentral
CCUACGGGCGGCAGCAGUGAGGAAUAUUGGUCAAUGGACGAGAGUCUGAACCAGCCAAGUAGCGUGAAGGAUGACUGCCCUAUGGGUUGUAAACUUCUUUUAUAUGGGAAUAAAACGUUCCACGUGUGGGAUUUUGUAUGUACCAUAUGAAUAAGGAUCGGCUAACUCCGUGCCAGCAGCCGCGGUAAUACGGAGGAUCCGAGCGUUAUCCGGAUUUAUUGGGUUUAAAGGGAGCGUAGGUGGAUUGUUAAGUCAGUUGUGAAAGUUUGCGGCCCGACCGUAAAAUUGCAGUUGAAACUGGCAGUCUUGAGUACAGUAGAGGUAGGCGGAAUUCGUGGUGUAGCGGUGAAAUGCUUAGAUAUCACGAAGAACUCCGAUUGCGAAGGCAGUUCACUGGACUGCAACUGACACUGAGGCUCGAAAGUGUGGGUAUCAAACAGGAUUAGAUACCCGAGUAGUC